GAGGAAUAUUGCGCAAUGGGCGAAAGCCUGACGCAGCGACGCCGCGUGGAGGAUGAAGGUUUUCGGAUUGUAAACUCCUGUUAAGUGGGAAGAAACGACAAAAUAUAAUACAUUUUGUAACUGACGGUACCAUUAAAGAAAGCACCGGCUAACUUCGUGCCAGCAGCCGCGGUAAUACGAGGGGUGCAAGCGUUAUUCGGAAUUAUUGGGCGUAAAGGGUGCGUAGGCGGCGUAUUAAGUCAACUGUUAAAACCUCCAGCCUAACUGGAGAUCAGCAGUAGAUACUGGUAUGCUAGAGGAUGGAAGAGAGAAGUGGAAUUCUUGGAGUAGCGGUGGAAUGCGUAGAUCUCAAGAGGAACACCAAUGGCGAAGGCAGCUUCUUGGUCCAUAUCUGACGCUGAUGCACGAAAGCGUGGGGAGCAAAC
Molecule: ribosomal RNA, 425 nt
Filed under: uncultured bacterium
Lineage: Bacteria
Description: bacterial SSU rRNA
Rfam family: Bacterial small subunit ribosomal RNA
Source: RNAcentral